UGGGGAAUAUUGCACAAUGGAGGGAACUCUGAUGCAGCGACGCCGCGUGAACGAAGAAGGCUUUCGAGUCGUAAAGUUCUUUUAUAUGGGAAGAUAAUGACGGUACCAUAAGAAAAAGCCCCGGCUAACUACGUGCCAGCAGCCGCGGCAAUACGUAGGGGGCUAGCGUUGUCCGGAAUCACUGGGCGUAAAGGGUUCGCAGGCGGAAAUGCAAGUCAGGUGUAAAAGGCAGUAGCUUAACUACUGUAAGCAUUUGAAACUGCAUAUCUUGAGAUGAGUAGAGGUAAGUGGGAUUUUUAGUGUAGCGGUGAAAUGCGUAGAUAUUAAAAAGAAUACCGGUGGCGAAGGCGACUUACUGGGCUCAUUCUGACGCUGAGGAACGAAAGCGUGGGUAGCAAACAGG
Molecule: ribosomal RNA, 403 nt
Filed under: bacterium
Lineage: Bacteria
Description: partial 16S ribosomal RNA
Rfam family: Bacterial small subunit ribosomal RNA
Source: RNAcentral